AACGAACGCUGGCGGCGUGCCUAACACAUGCAAGUCGAACGAGAAAGGGGCUUCGGCUCCGAGUAAAGUGUCGCACGGGUGAGUAACACGUGGGUAACCUGCCUCUAAGAUUGGGAUAACUCGUCGAAAGAUGAGCUAAUACCGAAUAAGACCACAGUUCCCGCGGGAACAGGGGUCAAAGGUAGCCUCUGCUUGCAAGCUAUCACUUAGAGAUGGGCCUGCGCACCAUUAGCUAGUUGGUAGGGUAACGGCCUACCAAGGCAAAGAUGGUUAGCUGGUCUGAGAGGAUGAUCAGCCACACUGGAACUGAGACACGGUCCAGACUCCUACGGGAGGCAGCAGUGAGGAAUAUUGCGCAAUGGGCGAAAGCUUGACGCAGCAACGCCGCGUGAGUGAUGAAGGCCUUCGGGUCGUAAAGCUCUGUCGGGAGGAACGAAUGCUCCUGAGGUUAACAGCCUCGGGAGGUGACGGUACCUUCAAAGGAAGCACCGGCUAACUCUGUG
RNAcentral lists this ribosomal RNA (503 nucleotides) under uncultured bacterium. RNAcentral's name for it is "partial 16S ribosomal RNA". It matches the Rfam family "Bacterial small subunit ribosomal RNA", at positions 29 to 507 of the family's 1533-position model. The record is from RNAcentral.